Oryza nivara is the source of this 204-nucleotide non-coding RNA. The record is from Rfam. Lineage: Eukaryota; Viridiplantae; Streptophyta; Magnoliopsida; Poales; Poaceae.
UUUAAUUGCAAUUGUAGGUUUUUAUGUCCAAUGUUUGACUGUCCGUAUUAUUUGAAGCUUUUUAUGAUUAAUAUUUUUGUUGUUAUUAGAUGAUAAAACAUUAAUAGUACUUUAUGCAUGACUUAUUUUUAAAAAAAAAUCAUAAAAUUUAAAAUAAUACGUACAGUCAAAUGUUAGACAUGGAAACUCAUGACUACAUUUAAA